AAAACUUUGAAUUUUUGAAAUACUAAGGCUUUUCUACUUCAUGAAUAGAUUACCUUAGCUGUAUUGGUAAAAUGUUUAGGAAUUUUCGGUCAUCAAUGCUCUUCAACUUCGUACUUGUUUUGGCCUUUUUAACAUUUUUUGAUUCGAGCGUCAAUGAUGAGUCUUUUGUAGACGAAACGCGCGUCUGGCGUAUAUAUAAAAUUUUAAUCCUGGUAUCUAUGAUGAGUUUAGAAUUCUAUUCAUUGUCUUUGUUAUGUCGUUGUUUUCUUCUUAUAGUGAUGUCUUUCUCAC
This 291-nucleotide long non-coding RNA is filed under the name Mytilus galloprovincialis (Mediterranean mussel). The record is from RNAcentral. Lineage: Eukaryota; Metazoa; Mollusca; Bivalvia; Mytilida; Mytilidae.